CCUAAAAAUAGAUCCGUGCGAACCGAAAAACUGAUUUACGAGCACAACCGACUGCAACCUUCCACCACGCCGGAUCCCCAAUGCUAACUGUUCAAAACGUGGUCGGACUGAGCUCUGUGGCCGCUUGAACAGCCCCGUUACUCAAAAACAAGAGCAAGAUGCGCAGUCAGCAGGUGAAGCGAUGAUACUCUGACUUCUGUUCCCAUGAAGGCAGCACGGAGCUGCGCCACUAGAAGCUGAAGAGAAGAAGAGUUACAAUACACAACGUCUCGCUCCAGUUGCAGUGGAGUAAACUGGCGGCAACUGUUACAUAUGCUCAAACAACGGUUCCAAAUACCAGCCAAACAGGCUGUGCAGGUCCUCCAGUUCUGUGUUGUGCUGGUCAAAAUAACAGCUGUUUCAGGGGAGGAUGUUUUUGUGAUGAGGUCUGUGUGUCAGUUCGGGAUUGCUGUCCUG
Micropterus dolomieu (smallmouth bass) is the source of this 456-nucleotide long non-coding RNA. RefSeq lists it as uncharacterized. The record is from RefSeq and is a predicted model, not a curated record. NCBI's taxonomy places the organism in Eukaryota, Metazoa, Chordata, Actinopteri, Centrarchiformes, Centrarchidae. The transcript is spliced from 4 exons.